GACGAACGCUGGCGGCGUGCUUAACACAUGCAAGUCGAACGGAAAGGCCCUGCUUUUGUGGGGUGCUCGAGUGGCGAACGGGUGAGUAACACGUGAGUAACCUGCUCUUGACUUUGGGAUAACUUCAGGAAACUGGGGCUAAUACCGGAUAGGAGCUCCUGCUGCAUGGUGGGGGUUGGAAAGUUUCGGCGGUUGGGGAUGGACUCGCGGCUUAUCAGCUUGUUGGUGGGGUAGUGGCUUACCAAGGCUUUGACGGGUAGCCGGCCUGAGAGGGUGACCGGCCACAUUGGUACUGAGAUACGGCCCAGACUCCUACGGGAGGCAGCAGUGGGGAAUAUUGCACAAUGGGCGGAAGCCUGAUGCAGCAACGCCGCGUGCGGGAUGACGGCCUUCGGGUUGUGAACCGCUUUCGCCUGUGACGAAGCGUGAGUGACGGUAAUGGGUAAAGAAGCACCGGCUAACUACGUG
This 468-nucleotide ribosomal RNA is filed under the name uncultured bacterium. Its description in RNAcentral is "partial 16S ribosomal RNA". It matches the Rfam family "Bacterial small subunit ribosomal RNA", at positions 28 to 507 of the family's 1533-position model. The record is from RNAcentral.